This 433-nucleotide ribosomal RNA is filed under the name uncultured bacterium. Its description in RNAcentral is "partial 16S ribosomal RNA". It matches the Rfam family "Bacterial small subunit ribosomal RNA", at positions 29 to 507 of the family's 1533-position model. The record is from RNAcentral.
AACGAACGCUGGCGGCAUGCCUAACACAUGCAAGUCGAACGAAGGCUUCGGCCUUAGUGGCGCACGGGUGCGUAACGCGUGGGAAUCUGCCCUUUGCUUCGGAAUAACAGUUAGAAAUGACUGCUAAUACCGGAUGAUGUCGCAAGACCAAAGAUUUAUCGGCAAAGGAUGAGCCCGCGUAGGAUUAGCUAGUUGGUGGGGUAAAGGCCUACCAAGGCGACGAUCCUUAGCUGGUCUGAGAGGAUGAUCAGCCACACUGGGACUGAGACACGGCCCAGACUCCUACGGGAGGCAGCAGUGGGGAAUAUUGGACAAUGGGCGAAAGCAUGAUCCAGCAAUGCCGCGUGAGUGAUGAAGGCCUUAGGGUUGUAAAGCUCUUUUACCCGGGAUGAUAAUGACAGUACCGGGAGAAUAAGCUCCGGCUAACUCCGUG